Long non-coding RNA from Xenopus tropicalis (tropical clawed frog), 603 nucleotides. RefSeq lists it as uncharacterized. NCBI's taxonomy places the organism in Eukaryota, Metazoa, Chordata, Amphibia, Anura, Pipidae. The record is from RefSeq and is a predicted model, not a curated record. The transcript has 3 exons.
UAGCAAAAUAUUAGCUGUGUUUGUGAGUUGAUGCAUGGAUAUAACGCAAUCUUCUGCUUUAAAAGAAUACUUUUUGUUCAUGCGUAAUGAAGGACAGCAUAUGCCAAUGCAGAGAGUUACAGAGGAAAACCUGGGUGCAGCAAGCUACCCCAUUCAGCAAUCUGAAUAUUAUAGAAACCAAGUGAAAAGGACGCAGUUUGAAUACAAUCAUAAAUCAAAUCAUUUGCAUCAAGCAUCACUUUUACCCUCCAGGCAUCCAGUUUUAUCAAGAAUUUGAGAGGCAUGGUACUGUAACCAUCUCUAAUGCCAUGGAUGCAAGCAGCGCCGGAUCUCUCUUUAGGGCUCCCAAAGGCCACCCCCUUUCUCCGCGCCCCCUCAGGAUCGCACGCAUGCAGGGAACGAUCAGAGAAAUUAGAUUGACUACUGCCAGACCCAUUCAAGCUGACCCCCCACAAACAAGGUACGACUGCAGACUUUUCAGGCCCUUUGCUUGGAGAUGGGGGGUCACUGUCAUAAAGUUUGAUGUUGGUCAAAUGUUCUUUAAAAUAAGAACAAUUUUCACUCUGAUAGUGUACCGCUGCGGGUUAAUGCAGAGGAACUAAA